This 253-nucleotide ribosomal RNA is filed under the name uncultured bacterium. RNAcentral's name for it is "partial 16S ribosomal RNA". It matches the Rfam family "Bacterial small subunit ribosomal RNA", at positions 524 to 776 of the family's 1533-position model. The record is from RNAcentral.
UACAGAGGGUGCGAGCGUUAAUCGGAAUUACUGGGCGUAAAGCGUGCGUAGACGGUUAUUUAAGUCGGGUGUGAAAGCCCCGGGCUCAACCUGGGAAUUGCAUUCGAGACUGAAUAGCUAGGGUACGGUAGAGGGAAGUGGAAUUUCCGGUGUAGCGGUGAAAUGCGUAGAUAUCGGAAGGAACAUCAGUGGCGAAGGCGGCGACCUGGACAGUUACUGACACUCAACUACGAAAGCGUGGGGAGCAAACAGG